GGGGACGGCGGGACGCAGCGCGGAGGAGGAAAAGCCGCGGUGAUGGAGAGAGGGGCACCCCUAUAGCUGCGGACGGGGAAUCCCCGUAUUAGAGCCCCAUCACCCCCCUGGGGAGCGGAGCCGACGGAGCUUAAAAGAGGUUCCAGCGGGUUAACGCGCUCCAGGUGUUGGAGGAGGCUACUUGCCCAGCUUGGCCGAGGAGAUGUUCAUCUAAAUCAAGGUUUCCCAUGGGUGGAAGGAGCUCACCAAGCCAAACUUCAGACUCCAAGCUGAGAGUGCCCUGACUUGAUGAGGGACUCCCCAGCCUCAAGGACCCAUCCUGCUUCCUGCCCUUCAGACAAGAGUGGGUUCAUGGCCACCUUCUGCACACACAUCAUCCCCAUAGCGGCUUCCCCAUGGAGGCAAACCCCAUUUGAAUCAGAGCCACAGGAGGGCCGCCCCCAAUUCUUGAUAGAAUCAAGAAUUAAGAAUCAUAGAGUUAAGAAUCAAGAGUCAUAGAAUUCUUGGUAGAAAGAGCUUGAUAUGUUCUUUACUCUGAGAGUGGGGAGGUGCUGGAACAGCUGCCCAGAGAGGCUGUGGAUGCCCCGUCCAUCCGUGGAGGUGUUGAAGGCCAGGUUGGAUGGGGCCCUGGGCAGCCUGGGCUGGUAUUGAAUGUGGAGGUUGGUGGCCCUGUGUGUGGUGGGGGGGUUGGAGCUUCGUGAUCCUUGAGGUCCCUUCCAACCCAGGCCAUCGUAUGAUUCUAUGAUAGAACCCUAUGGAAGGUGAUUUCCCGUUUAACAUCAAUCAAACCCAACUUGAGAGGUGACGCCGACGUGCAGAACGCAGAGCUCUGUGGCUGGGAUGGGAUCAGAGCACUCCGGGAGCUGGAAACCCAACCCACCCUGAUUUACUGGGGAUGGGGGGAAACACGGGCUGUGUGACGGCUCUGUGCUCCCUCAGCAUGGUUUUCCUGACCCCCAUUUUCCUGCACCCACCAGCAGCACUCCCCAGAGCUGAGGCUGGCCCGAAGGCUCGCUCUCAGCCCGUGUCCUUGUCAGAGGGCCAAUAUUCUUAUCUCGAGCCUGGCUGGCUUUUCUUUCUUGGAUCUUUGCCACCGCAGCUAAAAUAACACUCUCACCCCUCCCCUCUUGCAAAGGUCACGUUCCAGGGAUGAAUCCGGAGCGUCCCAGCCUGGAUUCUGGGCUUAGGACCAUGGAUGGGGCCAACACGGAUGCAGUGCAUUGAGGUGCUGGGUGAGCACACACAGGGCUGGCGGUGCCCUGGGUGGGAGCAGGCUCAGAACCAGCACCUCCAAUGCCCUCAGCUCUCUGACUAUCAGCUGAGCACACCUCCAUUCCUCCCCGGUCACGCGGUUGUUUCCUUGUAGAUCCGCCUCUCACCCUCGAACAACACUGGAAAGUCCAGAUUGGCAAAAAACAAGUUUGGAGGCAAUGGUUUGUUUAACCGACGGGUACAGUCGGUCUUGUGCUUGUUUUCUGUUUUUUUUUCUCCCCAAACAAGUCUUGAAAUCAAAGGAGAGUGCUUCCAAGCUAAAUACGAGUGGGGAGCAAUUGAGUGCUUAAUGGAGUGGGUAUUGGUCAGGACAUCACAUAAGGGAAACAUAAAUCGUGGUUAAGGAUGCGUGUAGGCAAGGAGGGAGGGAAGGAGAAGAGGAAUGAACUCAGCAUCCCAAAGGAAAGGGAGUCUGGCAGCGUAUAGCUCAUGGGACACGGGUAGAGGGAGGAGUGCAGGACCUGUAGCAAAGGCAUACAAACCUUUACAGCAGCACCGUUUUGCCAGGUUGGCUGGAGGAGCAAACCUGAGGCCUCCAGAUGUGCAAGCAGCAGCUGGGGAUGUGUUAACCCAGAAGGGCUCCUUCCCUGUGUCCCCAGAGCCACCUGCUGCCACUGGGGCUUUCCCAGGAGAUGGCGGUGCUCCUUCAUCCCCUGAAGGCCAAGGGUUGGGUGAUGCUUGACGUUGCACUGCCACUGCUACUUCAGGCUGGAGAUAAGGGAAAAGCUUUCCACCAUGAGCAAUAUCUGUCGUUGGAGGUUUCCAAGACCCACGCAAAGAGGAGAAAGCCCCACUCAACCUGGUCUGAGCCCAGCGCUGCCCAUGCUGUGAGUAGGAUGGUGGAGUUGGGGUCUCCUGUGGUUCCUUCCAACCUGAAUUAUCCCAGCAUCUUCUGCUCAGCGGAUCCCCACAGACCGGGGUCAGAGUGAAGGUGCAAAGCCAUGUCAGCGAUGGAGCAGCCCAGACCUACAGGGGCAGCCCUGCGUCUGUGUGCUCCUGCAAAGCCCAGCCCAGCAGAUCAAGCACAGGCGAUCAACAUGCAGAAGUCAUCUGGU
Gallus gallus (chicken) is the source of this 2327-nucleotide long non-coding RNA. RefSeq lists it as uncharacterized. The record is from RefSeq and is a predicted model, not a curated record. Lineage: Eukaryota; Metazoa; Chordata; Aves; Galliformes; Phasianidae. The transcript is spliced from 3 exons.